RNAcentral lists this ribosomal RNA (460 nucleotides) under uncultured bacterium. RNAcentral's name for it is "partial 16S ribosomal RNA". It matches the Rfam family "Bacterial small subunit ribosomal RNA", at positions 338 to 795 of the family's 1533-position model. The record is from RNAcentral.
CCUACGGGAGGCUGCAGUGAGGAAUAUUGGUCAAUGGCCGGAAGGCUGAACCAGCCAUGCCGCGUGAAGGUCAGUGCCCUAUGGGCGUUAAACUUCUUUUGUGCGGGAGCAAUAAUGGUCACGUGUGGCCAGACGAGAGUACCGUACGAAUAAGCAUCGGCUAACUCCGUGCCAGCAGCCGCGGUAAUACGGGGGAGGCAAGCGUUUUCCGGGUUUCUUGGGUUUAAAGGGUGCGUAGGCUGGGAGGUAAGUCAGCGGUGAAAUGCCCACGCUCAACGGGGGGAAGUGCCAUUGAUACUGCCUUGCUGGAAUGCGGAUGCCGUGGGAGGAAUGUGUGGUGUAGCGGUGGAAUGCAUAGAUAUCACACAGAACACCGAUUGCGAAGGCAUCUCACGAAUCCGCGAUUGACGCUGAUGCACGAAAGCGUGGGUAUCAAACAGGAUUAGAUACCCGGGUAGUC